Molecule: small nuclear RNA, 137 nt
Filed under: Marchantia polymorpha subsp. ruderalis
Lineage: Eukaryota; Viridiplantae; Streptophyta; Marchantiopsida; Marchantiales; Marchantiaceae
Description: U4 spliceosomal RNA
Rfam family: U4 spliceosomal RNA
About the family: U4 small nuclear RNA (U4 snRNA) is a component of the major U2-dependent spliceosome. The structure of U4 snRNA from yeast and human has been reported.
Source: Rfam by way of RNAcentral
AUCUUUGCGCAUGGGGCAAUGACACAGUUAGUGAAGUGAAACCGAGACGCGUCAAUUAUUGGUUGUAAACUAUUUCCAAACUAUGAUUCCAAUAAGAUGUGAUUACAGGAGGUUAGAUUUCAUUGUAAAUCAGUUGA